CAGCAGCCGCGGUAAUACGGAGGGUGCAAGCGUUAAUCGGAAUUACUGGGCGUAAAGCGCACGCAGGCGGUCUGACAAGUCAGAUGUGAAAUCCCCGGGCUUAACCUGGGAACUGCAUUUGAGACUGUCAGGCUGGAGUCUUGUAGAGGGGGGUGGAAUUCCAGGUGUAGCGGUGAAAUGCGUAGAGAUCUGGAGGAAUACCGGUGGCGAAGGCGGCCCCCUGGACAAAGACUGACGCUCAGGUGCGAAAGCGUGGGGAGCAAACAGGAUUAGAUACCCGUGUAGUCCCUGUCUCUUAUAA
Molecule: ribosomal RNA, 301 nt
Filed under: uncultured bacterium
Lineage: Bacteria
Description: partial 16S ribosomal RNA
Rfam family: Bacterial small subunit ribosomal RNA
Source: RNAcentral